RNAcentral lists this ribosomal RNA (383 nucleotides) under Pneumocystis carinii f. sp. suis. RNAcentral's name for it is "partial small subunit ribosomal RNA". It matches the Rfam family "Bacterial small subunit ribosomal RNA", at positions 957 to 1325 of the family's 1533-position model. Lineage: Eukaryota; Fungi; Ascomycota; Pneumocystomycetes; Pneumocystales; Pneumocystaceae. The record is from RNAcentral.
AUACCACGACAAUCUUACACUUCUUGCAUAUUAUUAAAUAUAUUAUAUAAUAUAUUUAAUAAUACAGGUGUUGCAUGGCUGUCUUUAGUUCGUGUUGUGAAAUGUGAGGUUAAUUCCGUUAACGAACGCAAUCCUUUUCUUUAGUUUUGUUAUUAUUAUUAUUAUUAAUUAAAUAUACUUAAACAAAUAUCAUUCUCUAUGAAGGAGAAAGAAUGAUUAAGACUAGUACUCGUGACCCUGAUGAAUAGGACUAGAGACAUGCCCCUGCCAUUUCUACUACAAGAUGCAGAGACGUAUGUGUAUGUAAGCCAAACCAUGACCGGGAAUUGAAGUUCGGAUAAGAAUCAGAAUCUCAAUUCCUGUAACAAUCACCAAUUCCCAAA